UACGUAGGGGGCAAGCGUUGUCCGGAUUUAUUGGGCGUAAAGAGCGUGUAGGCGGCCAGGUAGGUCAGCUGUGAAAACUCGAGGCUCAACCUCGAGACGUCGGUUGAAACCACCUGGCUAGAGUCCGGAAGAGGAGAGUGGAAUUCCUGGUGUAGCGGUGAAAUGCGCAGAUAUCAGGAAGAACACCCGUGGCGAAGGCGGCUCUCUGGGCCGAUACUGACGCUGAGGAGCGAAAGCGUGGGGAGCGAACAGG
RNAcentral lists this ribosomal RNA (253 nucleotides) under uncultured bacterium. RNAcentral describes it as "partial 16S ribosomal RNA". It matches the Rfam family "Bacterial small subunit ribosomal RNA", at positions 524 to 776 of the family's 1533-position model. The record is from RNAcentral.